AUACGUAGGGUGCGAGCGUUGUCCGGAAUUACUGGGCGUAAAGAGCUCGUAGGUGGUUUGUCGCGUCGUCUGUGAAAUUCCGGGGCUUAACUCCGGGCGUGCAGGCGAUACGGGCAUAACUUGAGUACUGUAGGGGAGACUGGAAUUCCUGGUGUAGCGGUGAAAUGCGCAGAUAUCAGGAGGAACACAGGUGGCGAAGGGGGGUCUCUGGGCAUUAACUGACGCUGAGGAGCGAAAGCAGGGGGAGCGAACAGGAUUAGAUACCCUGGUAGUCCAUGCCGUAAACGGUGGGCGCUAGGUGUAGGGGUCUUCCACGACUUCUGUGCCGUAGCUAACGCAUUAAGCGCCCCGCCUGGGGAGUACGGCCGCAAGGCUAAAACUCAAAGGAAUUGACGGGG
This 398-nucleotide ribosomal RNA is filed under the name uncultured bacterium. RNAcentral's name for it is "partial 16S ribosomal RNA". It matches the Rfam family "Bacterial small subunit ribosomal RNA", at positions 523 to 918 of the family's 1533-position model. The record is from RNAcentral.